This 464-nucleotide ribosomal RNA is filed under the name uncultured Methanomicrobiales archaeon. RNAcentral's name for it is "bacterial SSU rRNA". It matches the Rfam family "Archaeal small subunit ribosomal RNA", at positions 875 to 1338 of the family's 1478-position model. The record is from RNAcentral. Lineage: Archaea; Methanobacteriati; Methanobacteriota; Methanomicrobia; Methanomicrobiales.
AGCACCACAACGGGUGGAGCCUGCGGUUUAAUUGGACUCAACGCCGGGCAGCUCACCGGAUAAGACAGCUGAAUGAUAGUCGGGGCUGAAGACUCUACUUGACUAGCUGAGAGGAGGUGCAUGGCCGUCGUCAGUUCGUACUGUGAAGCAUCCUGUUAAGUCAGGCAACGAGCGAGACCCACGCCAACAGUUGCCAGCUCGUCCUCCGGGAUGGUGGGGACACUGUUGGGACCGCUCUGCUAAAGAGGAGGAAGGAAUGGGCAACGGUAGGUCAGCAUGCCCCGAAUUAUCUGGGCUACACGCGGGCUACAAUGGGUGGGACAAUGGGUAUCGACACCGAAAGGUGAAGGCAAUCUCCUAAACCCAUCCGUAGUUCGGAUUGUGGGCUGCAACUCGCCCACAUGAAGCUGGAAUCUGUAGUAAUCGUGUCUCAAAAUGGCACGGUGAAUAUGUCCCUGCUCCUU